Molecule: small nuclear RNA, 104 nt
Organism: Ursus americanus (American black bear)
Lineage: Eukaryota; Metazoa; Chordata; Mammalia; Carnivora; Ursidae
Source: Ensembl
GUGCUCACUUUGACAGUACAUACACUAAAAUUGGAAUGAUACAAAGAUUAGCAUGGCCCCUGCGGAAGGAUGACAGGAAAAUUCGUGAAAUGUUCCAUAUUUGU